GUGAGAGGGAGAGCUCAAAUUUGAAAGCUGGUACCUUCGGUAUCCGCGUUGUAACCUCGAGACACGUUUUCCGUGCGGCGCUAUGGACAAGUUCCUUGGAACAGGACAUCGUAGAGGGUGAAAAUCCCGUACUUGCCAUGGAUGUACCGUGCUUUGCGAUACGUGCUCUAAGAGUCGAGUUGUUUGGGAUUGCAGCUCAAAAUGGGUGGUAGACUCCAUCUAAAGCUAAAUAUCGGGGAGAGACCGAUAGCGAACAAGUACCGUGAGGGAAAGAUGAAAAGCACUUUGGAAAGAGAGUUAAAAGUACGUGAAAUUGUCGAAAGGGAAGCGCUUGAAGUCAGCCAUGCCGCUCAGGACUCAGCCUGGCUUUUGCUUGGUGUAUUUCCUGGGUAGCAAGUCAGCAUUGGUUUGGAUCGUCGGAGAAGCAUAGUCGGAAUGUGGCGCCCUCGGGCGUGUUAUAGCCUUCUAUUGGAUACGACGAUCUAGACCAAGGAACGCAGCGCGCCUUAUGGCG
RNAcentral lists this ribosomal RNA (514 nucleotides) under Malassezia furfur. RNAcentral describes it as "eukaryotic LSU rRNA". It matches the Rfam family "Eukaryotic large subunit ribosomal RNA", at positions 93 to 614 of the family's 3401-position model. The record is from RNAcentral. Lineage: Eukaryota; Fungi; Basidiomycota; Malasseziomycetes; Malasseziales; Malasseziaceae.